GCUAUCUUCAGGAGCUCCAAAGACUGGAGAUAAAACAAUAUUAUUCAGUUGGCAAAACAGUCAGGAUUUGAAAUUGAUGCACUGGCGAUUGUGAUCUCUACACAAAACACGGCAAGUAAACUCAACCUUCAAAUGAUAUUAUACAACUGAAACACCUACCGUACACGCAAGGUUCUUUAUUUG
Arabidopsis thaliana (thale cress) is the source of this 183-nucleotide non-coding RNA. RefSeq annotates it as other RNA. The transcript has a single exon. The record is from RefSeq. Lineage: Eukaryota; Viridiplantae; Streptophyta; Magnoliopsida; Brassicales; Brassicaceae.